GUUGACCUCGGAUCAGGUAGGGAUACCCGCUGAACUUAAGCAUAUCAAUAAGCGGAGGAAAAGAAACCAACAGGGAUUGCUCUAGUAACGGCGAGUGAAGCAGCAAUAGCUCAAAUUUGAAAUCUGGCGUCUUCGGCGUCCGAGUUGUAAUUUGUAGAGGAUGCUUCUGGGCAGCCACCGACCUAAGUUCCUUGGAACAGGACGUCAUAGAGGGUGAGAAUCCCGUAUGCGGUCGGAAAGGCACCCUACACGUAGCUCCUUCGACGAGUCGAGUUGUUUGGGAAUGCAGCUCUAAAUGGGAGGUAAAUUCUCU
RNAcentral lists this ribosomal RNA (313 nucleotides) under Cladosporium sp. RNAcentral describes it as "eukaryotic LSU rRNA". It matches the Rfam family "Eukaryotic large subunit ribosomal RNA", at positions 1 to 309 of the family's 3401-position model. Lineage: Eukaryota; Fungi; Ascomycota; Dothideomycetes; Cladosporiales; Cladosporiaceae. The record is from RNAcentral.